AGAAUCCCUUUGGGGUCGGCAGGCUCCGGAGUUGCGCGAGGUGGACACACAAAACCAAAAGCCAAAGUUGGAAAC
RNAcentral lists this long non-coding RNA (75 nucleotides) under Aotus nancymaae (Ma's night monkey). RNAcentral describes it as "Six3os1 conserved region 3 (ENSANAG00000000776.1)". It matches the Rfam family "Six3os1 conserved region 3". The record is from RNAcentral. Lineage: Eukaryota; Metazoa; Chordata; Mammalia; Primates; Aotidae.